Molecule: unclassified non-coding RNA, 419 nt
Filed under: Acidithiobacillus thiooxidans
Lineage: Bacteria; Pseudomonadati; Pseudomonadota; Acidithiobacillia; Acidithiobacillales; Acidithiobacillaceae
Description: intergenic spacer
Rfam family: tRNA (bases 46-119)
Source: RNAcentral
AAAGAAAAGGGUCUAGACCCCACACACGCCACUCGGUAAAGAAUCGGGCCUAUAGCUCAGCUGGCUAGAGCACACGACUGAUAAUCGUGAGGUCAGUGGUUCGAGUCCACUUGGGCCCACCAAAUGGGGCUGUAGCUCAGCUGGGAGAGCACCUGCUUUGCAAGCAGGGGGUCACCGGUUCGAUCCCGGUCAGCUCCACCACAGGGGAAGGGGCCCGCAGUAAGCGGGUCGGUCGCUGGUGUGGAGAGUUGUAAGAGGUAGGAGUAUGUAGUGCUGAGUUUCUUGGAGAUCCAGGCACUGACCACUACCCACUCUAGCAAUAGGGGUUGGCGGUAUCGUUCUUUGACAGUUGAGGAAGGGAAGGCCAUGUUUGUCAUCUUGCCGAUGGCAGACCUUCAAGUGGAUGCUUGGGGAUAUAU